AACGCAUAUUGCGCCCCUCGGCAUUCCGAGGGGCACACCCGUCCGAGCGCCGUUCGAACCCUCAGGCCUUGCCUGGCGUUGGGGAGGCCGUGCGGCCCCCCCGAAACCCCUUGGCGACGCAGGGCCGUCCGCGAACGCAGCGAAAACCGCGUCCGGGCGGACCCCGCGGCCGCCGGUCCAUUCGGAAGGUUUGGCCUCGGAUCGGGUGGGGACACCCGCUGAACUUAA
This 228-nucleotide unclassified non-coding RNA is filed under the name uncultured Lactifluus. RNAcentral describes it as "partial contains 5.8S ribosomal RNA, internal transcribed spacer 2, and large subunit ribosomal RNA". The record is from RNAcentral. Lineage: Eukaryota; Fungi; Basidiomycota; Agaricomycetes; Russulales; Russulaceae.